RNAcentral lists this ribosomal RNA (253 nucleotides) under uncultured bacterium. Its description in RNAcentral is "partial 16S ribosomal RNA". It matches the Rfam family "Bacterial small subunit ribosomal RNA", at positions 524 to 776 of the family's 1533-position model. The record is from RNAcentral.
UACGUAGGUGGCGAGCGUUGUCCGGAUUUACUGGGCGUAAAGCGCGCGCAGGCGGACUGAUCAGUCUGGGGUGAAAUCUCACGGCUCAACUGUGAGCGGUCCCUGGAUACUGUCAGUCUUGAGAUGUCUAGAGGAGAGCGGAAUUCCCGGUGUAGUGGUGGAAUGCGUAGAGAUCGGGAGGAACACCGAUGGCGAAGGCAGCCCCCUGGGUCAAGAUUGACGCUCAUGCACGAAAGCGUGGGGAGCAAACAGG